RNAcentral lists this long non-coding RNA (1462 nucleotides) under Sus scrofa (pig). RNAcentral describes it as "lncRNA (ENSSSCG00070021718.1)". Lineage: Eukaryota; Metazoa; Chordata; Mammalia; Artiodactyla; Suidae. The record is from RNAcentral.
AGGGAAGGUGUGAUGUCAAGAAUUAUGUGCUUUACUGGGGGUUUGGACUCACGAAGGAUUGGCUGGUUAUUAAGGUCUGGGAUUCGAUUCUGUCCUGUUUGCAAGCUAGUAAGUUAGCCUGUUACUAUUUUGUGGAUGCUGGCAGAAAACACAAAACUUCCGCAUCAAAGAAAAAGGACUUUAUUACUCAAGGCACAGAAAGCAGUUUGACUAUCAUGUUUGGUUUAAUGCCUCUUGCCUCCCAAAUUUCACAGCAGCGACAUGGAGGAUCCCAGGUGGGAAAUCCCAUGACUUGAGGAAUCCACUGCUUUUGUAGGAAAUGGUGGAGCACGGCAAGGAUGGCAUCUGCAGUGGUGUUGGGGGACAUCCUGGUGGCCCAGAGUGGGAUAAUGCAGUUCAAGUGGGGUCAAGAGAACAUCCUACAGAGGAGAGGGUGGCCUGGUAUAGGGUGUCAGACCCCAAGCAAGGUAAGGAGGGUAAACCACUUACCUGGGGCAGCCUGGCCCUGGAAAGUCAGAGCCUGAGCUCAGAGCUCCUGAGGAAGGUGAAGGGGUGAGGGUUGGAGGUGGUAACACAAGGAAAACCUGGAAAGAGGACUAUAGAGCCCAGCACAGAAGGGCAGGAAUCUCAGCAGAUGGGGGAGUGAGGCAAGGAUUAGAGAGUGUUUGCAUACAAGGGUGUCAUAUUGUGAUUUACAAUAAGAAGUAUGAGAGUUCCCAUUAUGGCUCAAUGAGUUAAGGACCUAACAUUGUCUCUCUUAGGAUGUGGUUCAAUCCCUGGCCUCGCUUAGUGGGUUAUAGGGAUCCAGCAUUGCUGCAAGCUAUGUUGUAGUUCACAUAUUUGGCUCAGAUCUGGCAUUGCUGUGUCUGUAACAUAGGCCUCAGCUGCCGCUCCAAUUCAUCCCUGGCCUGGGAAUUUCCACCUGCUGCAGGUGUGGCCAUAAAUGGAGAAAAAAAAAAAGAAAUAUGUAUUUCAUCUUCCAGUUUCUGCCACCAGAGUUCCUAAAACCGUUGGAAUUUCCUGAGCCGAAGAGGAUAAAGGUGUCUUUUCAUUGUGUUAAUGAGGUGACUUUAGGAACGUUGCCAGGAGAACCCACUUAUCGUGAUUAGAGAUGGAACAUUCAGUCCCGCCUCUCUGACUUAAGGGGAGGGAAGAGGUUGAACCAAUAACCAAUGACCAACCAUUUGACCAAUCAUGUCUUUGUAAUGAAACCUCCAUAAAAGCCCAAAAGGACGGCAUUCAGAGAGCUUCUGGGUUGGUGAACACGUGCAGAUUGGCGGAGGGUGGAGUGGUCAUUGAGGGCAUGGAUCCUCUGAACCCUUUCUCCACACCUUGCCCUGUGCCUCUCUUCCAUCUGGCUAUUCCUGGGUUAUAUCUUUUUAUAAACUUGGUAAGUAAAUUGUUUCUAUGGGCAGCUCUAGCACAUUGAUGGACCCCAAGGAAGAGGCUGUUGGAACUUCCA